AUCCAGCUGACGAGUUCCAAAUAGAACGAAACGCGCUACCUGGAU
Molecule: non-coding RNA, 45 nt
Organism: Schistosoma margrebowiei
Lineage: Eukaryota; Metazoa; Platyhelminthes; Trematoda; Strigeidida; Schistosomatidae
Source: Rfam